AGUCGACGGUACAGGAAUCAGCUUGCUGAUUUGCUGACGAGUGGCGGACGGGUGGGUAAUGUCUGGGAAACUGCCUGAUGGAGGGGGAUAACUACUGGAAACGGUAGCUAAUACCGCAUAACGUCGCAAGACCAAAGAGGGGGACCUUCGGGCCUCUUGCCAUCGGAUGUGCCCAGAUGGGAUUAGCUAGUAGGUGGGGUAACGGCUCACCUAGGCGACGAUCCCUAGCUGGUCUGAGAGGAUGACCAGCCACACUGGAACUGAGACACGGUCCAGACUCCUACGGGAGGCAGCAGUGGAGAAUAUUGCACAAUGGGCGCAAGCCUGAUGCAGCCAUGCCGCGUGUAUGAAGAAGGCCUUCGGGUUGUAAAGUACUUUCAGCGGGGAGGAAGGGAGUAAAGUUAAUACCUUUGCUCAUUGACGUUACCCGCAGAAGAAGCACCGGCUAGCUCCGUGCCAGCAGCCGCGGUAAUACGGAGGGUGCAAGCGUUAAUCGGAAUUACUGGGCGUAAAGCGCACGCAGGCGGUUUGUUAAGUCAGAUGUGAAAUCCCCGGGCUCAACCUGGGAACUGCAUCUGAUACUGGCAAGCUUGAGUCUCGUAGAGGGGGGUAGAAUUCCAGGUGUAGCGGUGAAAUGCGUAGAGAUCUGGAGGAAUACC
Molecule: ribosomal RNA, 659 nt
Filed under: uncultured bacterium
Lineage: Bacteria
Description: bacterial SSU rRNA
Rfam family: Bacterial small subunit ribosomal RNA
Source: RNAcentral